RNAcentral lists this ribosomal RNA (270 nucleotides) under uncultured prokaryote. RNAcentral describes it as "partial 16S ribosomal RNA". It matches the Rfam family "Archaeal small subunit ribosomal RNA", at positions 474 to 743 of the family's 1478-position model. The record is from RNAcentral.
UACUAGCGGUCCAAGUCGCAGCCAUCUUUAUUGGGUCUAAAACAUCCGUAGCUUGUUUGAUAAGUUUCCUGUGAAAUCUGGUUUCUCAAGAAUUGGGCGUGCAGGAAAUACUGUCAAGCUAGAGACUGGGAGACGUAAGAAGUAUGUUCGAAGUAGCGGUAAAAUGUUUUAAUCUCAAACAGACUCACAAUAGCGAAGGCAUCUUACGAGAACAGUUCUGACAGUAAGGGAUGAAGGCUAGGGGCGCAAAACGGAUUAGAUACCCCAGUA